GGGGGUUGAAAUUGAACUCUUGUUUUGAUUGGUUCUUAGUUAUUGGCGGUUAAGUUGAGUUUUCCUUUGUGUACCUUGGGUAGAAUUUACCUGGACACUGGUCAGUGAAAGACGUCCAUUAUUGUGCUCAGAUUAUAUUAUAUCAGAAACCCAUAUUGACAGAUUAUAUUUACUAUAUUCAGCUUUACAGUUUUCCAGACAUGACUAGUAAGUUGCACUUCCUUCUUUAUUAACAUUUUGACACGAAUUAAUAGAUUUGGUUAACUUUCCUAUUUUCGAGUAAAUACUCUUCAGAUUGCAUGUUUAUAACAUCGGAAUGAAAGAUUUGAAUGAGCGUAUUUUUGGUAAAGAAGCUAGGUCAUAUUUUUAUAAAGUAAUGUAAUAUUUGCCGCUGAUCAUAGCGUAAUUAUGUAAUGUUUAGAGAUAUCGUAAUAACAGUAUUUUACGAAUACUGCAUGUAGAAAAAUGGCGGCAUGUAUGAUAAGUUACAGUAUAUUGUGAAAAGAAUAUUCGAGUUACAUAUUGUGUAAUGCUAUUUUUAUAUGGACGAAUUGAAUACCAUUGUCAUGUGAUUAGUAUUUUAUAUAAUUACGAAGAGUCCGUUCUUAUUAUUGUAUUUUGGUUUUCAGGACUCUGAUGUAGAUUAUUUACUUUGUGCCAAGUUCCUUAUUUACUGGAGAACUCACUCCACAAGUGGUA
RNAcentral lists this long non-coding RNA (699 nucleotides) under Mytilus galloprovincialis (Mediterranean mussel). Lineage: Eukaryota; Metazoa; Mollusca; Bivalvia; Mytilida; Mytilidae. The record is from RNAcentral.